UGUUUAAACCGUGCAUAUGACGCUAACUCUCAAUGAAUCCCUCUCAUCAAAAAGAGACCCCCUCUCUCAUAGCAAGGAGGUCCCCCGUCUCUUUGAGGCCCCUACCUCGGAUGAGAGAACUGUUUGAGGGAUUAGUGCUCAUGUGUUGAUGAAAUAAAAGCAGACAUGCCGUCUUCGUUUCUCUUUCUUCAGAUGAUGAUCCCAAGCCUUCUGGCGAUCUCUUAAAAUAAAGCCUUAGAUCUUUAAAUCCUUAUAAACCUUAAAGAGUAUCAAUUUUAAAAAAAGGCUUUAUGAAGAAAGCACUUUAAGCUUUUCCAAUGAUUUAAGAUGAUACCGGGGAAGGUUUUCCGGUUUAUCCCGGAGGGCUUGUAGCUCAGUUGGUUAGAGCGCGCGCUUGAUAAGCGUGAGGUCGGAGGUUCAAGUCCUCCCAGGCCCACCAAUUUAUGCUCGUUUUUUGCUUACCUGAGAAUUAUGAAGCUUAAGCAUAUGAACGCCUCUUUAAAUCUUUGUUCAUAGUUUAAAGAUUUCAUUUUAUUUUAAAGAAUACAGGCUAUUUAAGUUGAUAAACUUUCUUGUAUUUGAUUUGGAAGAGCAUUAUUUAGGGGCCGUAGCUCAGCUGGGAGAGCACCUGCUUUGCAAGCAGGGGGUCGUCGGUUCGAUCCCGUCCGGCUCCACCACUUUAUGGUUCAUCAUCAUGUUGUAAGAGCACGGGUUUAGUAAAAGGUUCUUUAUCCUUUUGCUUGUUCUAUUGAAAUUGUGAAGAGAAGAUAUAUUCAAACAUGUUCCUUU
RNAcentral lists this transfer RNA (789 nucleotides) under uncultured Bartonella sp. RNAcentral describes it as "partial 16S-23S ribosomal RNA intergenic spacer". The stretch from base 363 to 436 matches the Rfam family "tRNA". Lineage: Bacteria; Pseudomonadati; Pseudomonadota; Alphaproteobacteria; Hyphomicrobiales; Bartonellaceae. The record is from RNAcentral.